Molecule: ribosomal RNA, 482 nt
Filed under: Candidatus Phytoplasma mali
Lineage: Bacteria; Bacillati; Mycoplasmatota; Mollicutes; Acholeplasmatales; Acholeplasmataceae
Description: bacterial SSU rRNA
Rfam family: Bacterial small subunit ribosomal RNA (bases 1-416)
Source: RNAcentral
CAUCAUUUAGUUGGGCACUUUAGUGAGACUGCCAAUGAUAAAUUGGAGGAAGGUGGGGAUUACGUCAAAUCAUCAUGCCCCUUAUGACCUGGGCUACAAACGUGAUACAAUGGCUGUUACAAAGAGUAGCUGAAGCGUGAGUUUUUAGCAAAUCUCAAAAAAACAGUCUCAGUUCGGAUUGAAGUCUGCAACUCGACUUCAUGAAGUCGGAAUCGCUAGUAAUCGCGAAUCAGCAUGUCGUGGUGAAUACGUUCUCGGGGUUUGUACACACCGCCCGUCAAACCAUGAAAGUUGACAAUACUCGAAACCAGUAGCCUAACUUGUAAAAGAGGGAACUGUCUAAGGUAGGGUCGAUGAUUGGGGUUAAGUCGUAACAAGGUAUCCCUACCGGAAGGUGGGGAUGGAUCACCUCCUUUCUAAGGAAAAUAUCAUCUUCAGUUGUGAAAGACUUAAAAAAGUUUUUUAUUUUUUAAGAUAAAAAU